AUCUUGUUGGGGAGUUUAGCUUUCUAGAAACAAUGUCUACUAUUAAAAUGCUAAGAACAAAUUUGAAGGAUUUUGGAUUACUUGGCACCACUGCUGUGCGUUGCAUAAAGCAUAACUCCACCUCCAUCCCUCAUGUACCAAGCAGAAGCAAAGUGUCAUGAUGACUGCCCAGCUGCCUGCUAUGCUCCUCCAAACAAGACUGGGUGUGUUCUGACCCAGCUGUGUUUCUUAGUUAUCAGUUUAAUCAAGUAUUACCACCAGAUCGACAUCCUGGCCGCUCACGGAUGGAACACAGAAGGCGAGAGGCUUUCUUUCAAAAGAGACAAUCUCCGUAAAGACAUCAGAAGCAUAGCAGGAAAGCAGAGGCAAACAUUGAUUAUGUGGCUUGCAAAUGUCAGAGAGCCAUGGGGCCAUUGUCAGUGGCAAGAGGGGUGGCCACAACUUCAGAUAAGAUGGCCUUGGCUUCUGAUGAUGACCUGUUUCCACAGUAUUUGUCACGGUUUCUGAACAGUCUGUUACCAUUUCUACCAUGGGGAUGAGACAGAAGCAGCUGCCUGUGGUCCAUGAAAAGUCUCAGAUGAAGACUAUUACCGAAAGCUACAACAGGUCAAAAUGCAGAGAAAGCCUAACCACGAGGUGCUCAGGCCCAGUUCAUACAUUUAUAACACAA
Acomys russatus (golden spiny mouse) is the source of this 670-nucleotide long non-coding RNA. RefSeq lists it as uncharacterized. The transcript is spliced from 3 exons. The record is from RefSeq and is a predicted model, not a curated record. Lineage: Eukaryota; Metazoa; Chordata; Mammalia; Rodentia; Muridae.